RNAcentral lists this ribosomal RNA (711 nucleotides) under uncultured Ralstonia sp. RNAcentral's name for it is "bacterial SSU rRNA". It matches the Rfam family "Bacterial small subunit ribosomal RNA", at positions 56 to 756 of the family's 1533-position model. The record is from RNAcentral. Lineage: Bacteria; Pseudomonadati; Pseudomonadota; Betaproteobacteria; Burkholderiales; Burkholderiaceae.
UGCAAGUCGAACGGCAGCAUGAUCUAGCUUGCUAGAUUGAUGGCGAGUGGCGAACGGGUGAGUAAUACAUCGGAACGUGCCCUGUAGUGGGGGAUAACUAGUCGAAAGAUUAGCUAAUACCGCAUACGACCUGAGGGUGAAAGUGGGGGACCGCAAGGCCUCAUGCUAUAGGAGCGGCCGAUGUCUGAUUAGCUAGUUGGUGGGGUAAAGGCCCACCAAGGCGACGAUCAGUAGCUGGUCUGAGAGGACGAUCAGCCACACUGGGACUGAGACACGGCCCAGACUCCUACGGGAGGCAGCAGUGGGGAAUUUUGGACAAUGGGCGAAAGCCUGAUCCAGCAAUGCCGCGUGUGUGAAGAAGGCCUUCGGGUUGUAAAGCACUUUUGUCCGGAAAGAAAUGGCUCUGGUUAAUACCUGGGGUCGAUGACGGUACCGGAAGAAUAAGGACCGGCUAACUACGUGCCAGCAGCCGCGGUAAUACGUAGGGUCCAAGCGUUAAUCGGAAUUACUGGGCGUAAAGCGUGCGCAGGCGGUUGUGCAAGACCGAUGUGAAAUCCCCGAGCUUAACUUGGGAAUUGCAUUGGUGACUGCACGGCUAGAGUGUGUCAGAGGGGGGUAGAAUUCCACGUGUAGCAGUGAAAUGCGUAGAGAUGUGGAGGAAUACCGAUGGCGAAGGCAGCCCCCUGGGAUAACACUGACGCUCAUGCACGA